This 7487-nucleotide long non-coding RNA is filed under the name Malus domestica (apple). RNAcentral describes it as "long non-coding RNA (MDOM_LNC001536)". Lineage: Eukaryota; Viridiplantae; Streptophyta; Magnoliopsida; Rosales; Rosaceae. The record is from RNAcentral.
CGACGUUGUGUUUCUAUGCGAAUUAUGUUAUUCUAAUUAUGCUUUUGAGACCUAACUGAUGUGGUUUGGAUAUUAAUACGAUUGUGGUAUAUGUUGGAUUAAAUGAAUAUAUUUGGAUUUGGUUUAAAUUUUGGAUAUGUGAACUACGAAUGGCUUGAUCCCUGCUUAGGGUACGUAGGCAGUCUAACGAGACGUUUGAUGCAACCAUACAAUAAGUGAGAUUAAAUAAUCGAGAAUUAAUAUUUAGAUGGAAUUUUGACCUAAGAGAAGGGAAUGGUUCUAAAUUGGAAGUGAAAUUGUAUGUUUUGGUAAAUGAUUAAUGGUUAUGGAUUACGUGGGAUGAAGGAAAUUAUUUGGAGAAUAAUGACUAAUGAUAGUGAAGUCAAAUGUUAAUUUAAAGAUAUGUUUUGACAUUAAAAAUAAAUAAAAAUAUGGAUAGCUUGUAAGAAUUUGAAUUAUUGACUUAGAGGAAUGUGAUUAAUGGAAAUAAAUUAACUAUGAUUUUAAUUUGGGCCUAUCAACAAAAUUAAUCCCCGAAAAUAAAUAUUUCGGGGCCGGGGCAUUACAAGUAUAUUUGAGUCGGUCGAUGAUCACCCAAAGCAGAUGCAACCUUCACUUGGGCGAAGUAACUUGUACAUGAAGUCCAUGGUGACAUCCUCCACUUCCAGACUGAAAUAGGAAGUGGUUAAAACAAAUGGAAUGUUGUAAAAUCGAUUGUGGGUGCAGUGGAAUAAAUGAAACAAGACACAAAAUUUACGAGGUUCCUCUACAGUCAGUGUGACUGGAGUACGUCCUCGGGGCAGCAGUGGUGCUUUCAUUAUAAUUUGAAAUAAUAGGAGUACAAAGAUAACUCUCUCUAUUAUCUCCUCUCAUCUUCCUCUAUUCUCUCUCUUCCUCUUCCUUCCUUCCUCUCUUUCUUUCCCGUGAACUCCCCUCACUUCAUUCCUCUUCUUCCUUUGUAUAAACAAAAGAAAGCACUAUUCACUUUACAAAUUUUCCACAAAUGAAUAGUGAAAAUACUGUGCAUAAAUAGUAACAAACUAUUCAUGUGGACCAUCCACGCACUAUUUACAACACUCCCCCUUGGAUGGCCACAAGUCUUCGAUUGACUCGUUAAAAUCUUGAUCUGUCUUGGAUGCUCUCCUUGAUGAGUAUCUCCCCCUGAUUUCAAAUCAUUUAGGUUGAUCGUUGAUCGUUCUGCUUUAGUCUCUUAGUAAGAAGAGUUGCUGAAAGAGGUGCUUUACUUGUUGUUAACUUUCCACAGGCUUGUUCUUGAACUAGGCUAGAGGACUUUCUGCUAGACUUGCAUCCAAAGGUCUGAAUUUACUCCUUUGAUCUGGAGCAGAUUUGAUUCAAAAGUGGUGGACACUUGAUCUUGAAUCAGACUUGUGAUUUCUUCAAGGACCUCAGAGGCUUGAUCUUGAAUAAAGUUGUACCGUGAAGAGCUUCACGUGGCAAGUGAUCUUCGACUUUGUCGGGGAUGAGUCAACACGUGUUUGUUGCGCUUGUCUCCACAUGCUGCAAUGUAUCAUUUUCACUUUCCUUACUUGCUCCCCUUGCUUAAGUAGUAUUUUCCUUGGUUUUCCCCCAUGCAUGUGUGGCAUAUUCUCCUGCAGUAUUUGCCUUAUGAUGUAGGAGUGGAAUGCAACCCUUGCAUUUGGAUGGUUCAUCACUUCUUGGUGACCGGAGACCCAGUUCUAACAACAAUUGAAGAUGACUACUCGAGAGCUAGGUAAGCAAUCGGGAAAGGUUCCAAGCAGUUUGUUCCUUACCUGGAGUUUAAGUGGAGGUUCCGACAUACUGCUUUCUUUAUCCUUGUCUUUGCAUGUAAGAACAAUGACAAAGGAAAGGACAGAGAGAUUGCAUGAUAUGAGAUAAUCUUGCUCUAGUCCCUGAAGAUAUGUGAUAAUCUUGCUCUGGUGUGACAUGUUUGAAGAGGUAUUCUCGGAAAGGAAGAAAACUGAGUAUUUCGAGAUGCUAUGUUGAAGAUGCAUUCUCGGAGAUGAGGAAGAGUUAGGUAUUCUUGCAGUGUUGCAGGUCUGCCUUGUUAUGGAGAACAGAGGUCGACAUAUAUAGAGAUUUCUCAAUAGCAAGUGGUGGUGCUGUGCUUUUACUCUUGUCAGCAACUGUGGUGUAAAUAGAACAGUAAGAUUUACGCGUUUUCAACUUUGUAAGAGAUCUUUGACAAAAUUGCACGCGACAUCUGAAAAAGCUGGGAUUACGUCUGAAAAAUGCCAACGAACUUUAUUCAGGAAAAUCUGGCUUUUGAAAUUCGGAGAGCGGUGCCUCUUCGAUCUUUGAACGAGUGGCUCUGCUGCCUCUUCUUUUACAGAGACAUCAAUUGUGUUCAAGAGUAUGCUCAGAAAGUUGCUGCCUGUAGAAAUUUCCUCUAUCUUGCACUUCUGAAAUUUUAUUUGACCUCUGUUUUUCCUUCAUCAUUUCUGAAAAAUGAUUUGCCCAUCUAACAUUUGCUUAGAUUUGAGUCUUAGGAGUGAUACAGACGAGCAGCGUCAUGAUAAUAUAUGGCGCCCGUCUUUCUUAUCUUCUAAUGGUCCUCUUACGGUUGGGGACUCUGUGAUGAAGAAUAACAUAACCGCUACUGUGGUAGCUAGGAAUCUUCUCACUCCAAGGGAUAACAAGAUUCAGAACGGUCUGAAGAGUCGACCGUUCAAGACUCCUUGGCUCUCAGUGUUCAGUGUGCUGGCUCUGUGUCCAAUAUGGGCCAACGCUUACUUGCUCAAACUCGCCAAAUUGAAUUAUUGAUGGCGGAGGUGGCAAGUCUUAAACAAGAGAUUAGAGGGCUCAAGCACGAGAAUAGGGUGUUACACGUGCUUGCAAAUAGUUACUCUACGAGCAUGAAAAGAAAGCUCGUCCAACUGCAGGAAUCCGAAAGUCGGAUUCAAAGUGAUCACCAGAGGUUCGUUGCUAGAUUCCGAAAGCAACUGAUGCCUUCCCCUUCUGGUGUUUUGCUAAGUACUGGGGUGCCACAUGAUCAAUCUCCAGUGCCUCCCCCUUCUGGGGUACUUCUGAGUACUGAGGCUUCACAUGAGCAACCUUUGUGAAAGCUCAUCCUGUUUGUUUGUUUUAACUCAUGUGUAUGUAUAUAUCUGUAAUUUCUUGGAGAUAUUAAUAAAUAAGCUUUAUUUCAUUCAAUGUAUUGUGCCAAAUACAAUAAAGCAUAUACUUCACUAAGAUGUGGUACUUCUGGACCAAAUAUUAAUUUAUCUUUACCCUCAUGAAGAUAAAUGAUUAUUCUUAGUGUCUUCAUCAUAUGAGUAUUCAACUCAUAAUCUUCAAUCCAUAUGGUUCUUUUAAUAUCAUAAAUAUCAUGGAUAAGAUUCGUGUUGGUAGAUUGUUCGAUCUGCAGCUCGAGACAAUAAUUCCUUCAACACUUUAUAAUUUUUUCUAGACUCUUCAGGAGUCCCAAUUUAAUAUCAUCAACUCUUCAAGAGUUCUAAUUUUAAUGUCAUUGACUCUUGCAAGAGAUUUUAGUAUGUUGCAACAAUAUUAUAAUGAUAGUACUCACUAAGGCAAUUUUAUAUCAUUCAUUGGUAUUGAGUACAUAUUUUAUGUUUUACCCUUCAGGGGCUUACUUCAAGCAGUUUGAAUCCUUUAGGGAUUUUCUACACUUCAUGACACAUUUUCCUUUGGAAUUUAUACAGAGCAAUUUGCUCCCAUGUAUACUUGAGGGAUUUACUUAUGGAGAUAUGAUGUGAGCGACUCACAACCCUUCGUAUAUAAUUCUCCAUUUAUAUGAACUCGUUUACAAGAGUUCAAUUAGUAAUCUUGUGUCAUAUCAUGUGAGUGUAUUUCACUGUAUUACAAAUGCCCAUAUGUAACCUCCUUGGUUUAACAUCUUUUGGCUAUUUGUAUUUUAUUCAAAUAUAUAGGUCCAUUUUUCCACGUUCUUACAACAUUGUAAUGGAAUUGCCUUUCUCCAUUUUUGGCCAAUAAUUUUCCUUUUGUCGACAAACAAAAGAACGUGACUCAAUAUUAACACAGCUCAUUGAUGAAUUUAGUAGCUACUUGUAAAAACCAAAAUUAUCAUUGGUUAUCAUCAAUCCGUGAUCCCAUAUUCUCAUAUGCAUGCGCAUGCAUAAAAGCUUUUUUUUAUUUCUUUUGGAUAUCCAUUGCCUCUUCAAGGGCAUUAUACUAUCUCUUCCAGGAUAAUCGUAAUUUAGAGAAUUCGGAUCAUAACCUCAUUUUGAGCGUUAUAGAGCUUGGAUUUUAAUCUCCACUUCUAGAAGUUGAGUCAUUGGAACCUAUACGUCUAUCAUGCUACAUGCAAGAGACAUCAAUAUUCCCAUGUCUGCGGAUUGUCCUUUCUAGAACGUAUUAUCCAUGCAGCGACUGUCAAGCUUCUGGCAUGCAACAAUUAUGCUUCAGGAAUGCAAUAGUUCAGUAGUGCCAUAUUCCUUUUUUUUUUUUCGAAUGACUGAACCUUUUGAGUCUAAAGGUCUGCCACGCUUCAGACGUGCAACAGAUAAAUCAUUUACUGCCUCAUUAUAUUGUCCAAUGAGGACAUCAAUUCUUGUAGGCACAUUUGCAGUAAGUAUAUGUGAUUUCAUCACUUUCGUUGCAUCAUUCAAUUAUUCCAAUUUCAUUUUCUCAUUGUUUGUUUCGUGAAUCAAAAUAAGACAAAUUAUCUUCGUUCUUCUGGAACGGUCUUUUCUCAUCAUUCUUCUGGAAUGAUAUUUUCUCAUCGUUCUUCUGGAACGAUGUUAUUUUCUCCCCCUAAUGGCAGGAAAACUGUCUUAUCAAAAUCAUAGUCCGCAAAUCAUGCGGUAGACAUAUCCCCAGUCAAGGGUUCCAAAUAUUGAAUGAUAGAUGGUGUUCAACAUCAAUGCCUAAUCUACGAUGAUGCCUCAUUUCAGUAUGUUGUGGCAGUCUUACAGGCACAUAGAUAACACAACCAAAAACUCGUAAAUGUAUAAUGUUUGGCUAGUUCCCAAACACGAGUUGUACUGAGCAAUAUUGAUGGUUGGAAACUGGUCUCAUCCGAACUUAAUAAUGCGUCAUGUAAAAUGACAUGUCCCCAUGUAGAAAACUGGUAAUUUCGUUUUCAUGAGCAGAGCGCGGGUAAUCAAUUUCAUCCGCUUAAUAAAUGCUUCUGCUAAACCAUUUUAAGUAUGGACAUAAGGAACUUCUGGUCCUUAUUAAAUAGUCUAUGGACUGAGACUUUUAUGACCUUUAUUAUAAUUAAGUUGAGGCACUGUGGCACUUCAAACUUAAGGUACUCAUCAAGGAAUUUCAUGUCCUGAUCUUCAUGAUCAAGGGACUUCAUGCCUGAUCUUUUUGUAUGAUGGAACUUCGGGUCCAAUCAUUUUAUAUGAUGAGGAUCAAGAAACUGCAGGUUCUGAUCUGAUCAAGGAACUUUGGGUCUUAUAUAUACUCAUUGUAACAAAAGAUAAGUACAAUAAAUAAAUUAAAGCAAUAGGCGGUAAUUCCAGCCAUAGUAAAUAAAUUGAACAAUAAAUAAAUUAAAGCUUGUGACAAGGGCUUUAAUUCAGCACCAUUCACAUAAAUCAAAACUUAAAGCAGUAGGCGGUAAAACCGUCCAUGAUAAAUAAAUUGUUUUAAAGUAAAUAGAACUUGUGACAUGGGCUUUAAACCAACACCAUGCACAUAAAUAUCAAAGCUUUAAAGCAAAGGGUAAUAAUUCUACCCACUGUAAAUAAAUUGCUUUAAAUAAAUAGAACUUGUGAAAGUGUUUUAAGCCAACACCAUUCACAUAAAUAAAUCAAAACUUAAAGCAGUAGGCGGUAAAACCGUCCAUGAUAAAUAAAUUGUUUUAAAGUAAAUAGAACUUGUGACAUGGGCUUUAAACCAACACCCAUGCACAUAAAUAUCAAAGCUUUAAAGCAAAGGGUAAUAAUUCUACCCACUGUAAAUAAAUUGCUUUAAAUAAAUAGAACUUGUGAAAGUGUUUUAAGCCAACACCAUUCACAUAAAUAAAUCAAAACUUAAAGCAGUAGGCGGUAAAACCGUCCAUGAUAAAUAAAUUGUUUUAAAGUAAAUAGAACUUGUGACAUGGGCUUUAAACCAACACCAUGCACAUAAAUAUCAAAGCUUUAAAGCAAAGGGUAAUAAUUCUACCCACUAUAAAUAAAUUGCUUUAAAUAAAUAGAACUUGUGAAAGUGUUUUAAGCCAACACCAUUCACAUAAAUAAAUAUAUACAUAUUUUCUUCUUUCUUUUCAGAUGGUGUAACACCAUCCAAAAACCUUUACCUUUAUUUUAUUUUAUUAUUUUCUUAUUCAAUCACAUGCUACAACAUUCCAACAACUUUUGUUUUUAUUUCUUUUAUUUUACAUGGUGCAACGCACCUUUCUAAAUCAUUGGCCCCAUUUCCCCUUUUCUUUGUCUAUCUCUACCAGUCUCGAAACCUAGUACCAGCUGGGUUGUUGUGGGAGUUACACAAAACCAAUUCAAUCCAAAAAGGCUACCAGAGACUGGCGUUGUUCUUGCAUGGCCCAAAGAACAUGGCAUCGCAAAGCAAGAACCUCUCCAUAGAGACAUAGAUGACAGUGAGGUUGACGAAGGCAUAAGAGAGGGAGGCCUGUGUGGGGUUAGUCAUGCCAUCACCAUCUCAGACAACUGAGGAUUCAUGGAGGUCCUCGAGAUCCAUUGACACGAUCUGGGUUUCCAAAUCUAAUGAGAUUCUUCUGGAUCUCUGGAAACCAGUUGUCAGGUACGAGUUUUCUUAUCUCGUGACGACUUUAGGUCGUUGGAAAUUUCAAUUCGCACCGGAAUUCGGUGGGGCGCUUCUGGCGCGGUGGGAGAAACAAAAAAUGGACAUACCUUUGCUUGUUUUGCUGCACCUUUGUUUGUCUGUAAGAUCUCUCCAUCUUUCUUGUCCACGAGAGAAAAAUAGAUUGCAGGUCUAGCAGGGAUAAGGAUUAGCACAUCAAUAGUUAGAGUGAUAAAAGAAAAAGUGAUAAAAGAAAGGUUGAUGGAUUUUUGUGACAAGAUGAUCUUCCCUGUUUGACAUGUCUGGCUUGCCGUCUCUACUCUGUGAGAUUUUAGCUGACCGAGGUGAGAGGUAGAUAAUGCUUCACCAGAUUUAUGAUAUUGUGCUUUCCACUGACAUGAGAGAUUCUCGUGCUGAUAACGUGUUGUAAAAUCGACUGUGGGUGCAGUGGAAUAAAUGAAACAAGACACAAAAUUUACGAGAUUCCUCUACAGUCAGUGUGACUGGAGUACGUCCUCGGGGCAGCAGUGGUGCUUUCAUUAUAAUUUGAAAUAAUAGGAGUACAAAGAUAACUCUCUCUAUUAUCUCCUCUCAUCUUCCUCUAUUCUCUCUCUUCCUCUUCCUUCCUUCCUCUCUUUCUUUCCCGUGAACUCCCCUCACUUCAUUCCUCUUCUUCCUUUAUAUAAACAAAAGAAAGCACUAUUCACUUUACAAAUUUUCCACAAAUGAAUAGUGAAAAUACUGUGCAUAAAUAGUAACAAACUAUUCAUGUGGACCAUCCACGCACUAUUUACAAC